UAGAGUUUGAUCCUGGCUCAGAGCGAACGCUGGCGGUAUGCUUAACACAUGCAAGUCGAGCGAGAAAGUGGCUUCGGCCACGAGUACAGCGGCGGACGGGUGCGUAACACGUGGAUAAUCUGCCUUCAGGUCUGGGAUAACCCUGGGAAACUAGAGCUAAUACCGGAUAAGACCACAGGUUCCAUGGAACCAAGGGUAAAAGGCGGCCUUCGGGCUGUCUCCUGAAGAUGAGUCCGCGUCCCAUCAGGUUGUUGGUGAGGUAACGGCUCACCAAGCCUAUAUACGGGUA
Molecule: ribosomal RNA, 289 nt
Filed under: uncultured bacterium
Lineage: Bacteria
Description: partial 16S ribosomal RNA
Rfam family: Bacterial small subunit ribosomal RNA
Source: RNAcentral